This 2923-nucleotide ribosomal RNA is filed under the name Staphylococcus aureus. RNAcentral describes it as "23S ribosomal RNA". It matches the Rfam family "Bacterial large subunit ribosomal RNA". Lineage: Bacteria; Bacillati; Bacillota; Bacilli; Caryophanales; Staphylococcaceae. The record is from RNAcentral.
GAUUAAGUUAUUAAGGGCGCACGGUGGAUGCCUUGGCACUAGAAGCCGAUGAAGGACGUUACUAACGACGAUAUGCUUUGGGGAGCUGUAAGUAAGCUUUGAUCCAGAGAUUUCCGAAUGGGGAAACCCAGCAUGAGUUAUGUCAUGUUAUCGAUAUGUGAAUACAUAGCAUAUCAGAAGGCACACCCGGAGAACUGAAACAUCUUAGUACCCGGAGGAAGAGAAAGAAAAUUCGAUUCCCUUAGUAGCGGCGAGCGAAACGGGAAGAGCCCAAACCAACAAGCUUGCUUGUUGGGGUUGUAGGACACUCUAUACGGAGUUACAAAGGACGACAUUAGACGAAUCAUCUGGAAAGAUGAAUCAAAGAAGGUAAUAAUCCUGUAGUCGAAAAUGUUGUCUCUCUUGAGUGGAUCCUGAGUACGACGGAGCACGUGAAAUUCCGUCGGAAUCUGGGAGGACCAUCUCCUAAGGCUAAAUACUCUCUAGUGACCGAUAGUGAACCAGUACCGUGAGGGAAAGGUGAAAAGCACCCCGGAAGGGGAGUGAAAUAGAACCUGAAACCGUGUGCUUACAAGUAGUCAGAGCCCGUUAAUGGGUGAUGGUGUGCCUUUUGUAGAAUGAACCGGCGAGUUACGAUUUGAUGCAAGGUUAAGCAGUAAAUGUGGAGCCGUAGCGAAAGCGAGUCUGAAUAGGGCGUUUAGUAUUUGGUCGUAGACCCGAAACCAGGUGAUCUACCCUUGGUCAGGUUGAAGUUCAGGUAACACUGAAUGGAGGACCGAACCGACUUACGUUGAAAAGUGAGCGGAUGAACUGAGGGUAGCGGAGAAAUUCCAAUCGAACCUGGAGAUAGCUGGUUCUCUCCGAAAUAGCUUUAGGGCUAGCCUCAAGUGAUGAUUAUUGGAGGUAGAGCACUGUUUGGACGAGGGGCCCCUCUCGGGUUACCGAAUUCAGACAAACUCCGAAUGCCAAUUAAUUUAACUUGGGAGUCAGAACAUGGGUGAUAAGGUCCGUGUUCGAAAGGGAAACAGCCCAGACCACCAGCUAAGGUCCCAAAAUAUAUGUUAAGUGGAAAAGGAUGUGGCGUUGCCCAGACAACUAGGAUGUUGGCUUAGAAGCAGCCAUCAUUUAAAGAGUGCGUAAUAGCUCACUAGUCGAGUGACACUGCGCCGAAAAUGUACCGGGGCUAAACAUAUUACCGAAGCUGUGGAUUGUCCUUUGGACAAUGGUAGGAGAGCGUUCUAAGGGCGUUGAAGCAUGAUCGUAAGGACAUGUGGAGCGCUUAGAAGUGAGAAUGCCGGUGUGAGUAGCGAAAGACGGGUGAGAAUCCCGUCCACCGAUUGACUAAGGUUUCCAGAGGAAGGCUCGUCCGCUCUGGGUUAGUCGGGUCCUAAGCUGAGGCCGACAGGCGUAGGCGAUGGAUAACAGGUUGAUAUUCCUGUACCACCUAUAAUCGUUUUAAUCGAUGGGGGGACGCAGUAGGAUAGGCGAAGCGUGCGAUUGGAUUGCACGUCUAAGCAGUAAGGCUGAGUAUUAGGCAAAUCCGGUACUCGUUAAGGCUGAGCUGUGAUGGGGAGAAGACAUUGUGUCUUCGAGUCGUUGAUUUCACACUGCCGAGAAAAGCCUCUAGAUAGAAAAUAGGUGCCCGUACCGCAAACCGACACAGGUAGUCAAGAUGAGAAUUCUAAGGUGAGCGAGCGAACUCUCGUUAAGGAACUCGGCAAAAUGACCCCGUAACUUCGGGAGAAGGGGUGCUCUUUAGGGUUAACGCCCAGAAGAGCCGCAGUGAAUAGGCCCAAGCGACUGUUUAUCAAAAACACAGGUCUCUGCUAAACCGUAAGGUGAUGUAUAGGGGCUGACGCCUGCCCGGUGCUGGAAGGUUAAGAGGAGUGGUUAGCUUCUGCGAAGCUACGAAUCGAAGCCCCAGUAAACGGCGGCCGUAACUAUAACGGUCCUAAGGUAGCGAAAUUCCUUGUCGGGUAAGUUCCGACCCGCACGAAAGGCGUAACGAUUUGGGCACUGUCUCAACGAGAGACUCGGUGAAAUCAUAGUACCUGUGAAGAUGCAGGUUACCCGCGACAGGACGGAAAGACCCCGUGGAGCUUUACUGUAGCCUGAUAUUGAAAUUCGGCACAGCUUGUACAGGAUAGGUAGGAGCCUUUGAAACGUGAGCGCUAGCUUAUGUGGAGGCGCUGGUGGGAUACUACCCUAGCUGUGUUGGCUUUCUAACCCGCACCACUCAUCGUGGUGGGAGACAGUGUCAGGCGGGCAGUUUGACUGGGGCGGUCGCCUCCUAAAAGGUAACGGAGGCGCUCAAAGGUUCCCUCAGAAUGGUUGGAAAUCAUUCAUAGAGUGUAAAGGCAUAAGGGAGCUUGACUGCAAGACCUACAAGUCGAGCAGGGUCGAAAGACGGACUUAGUGAUCCGGUGGUUCCGCAUGGAAGGGCCAUCGCUCAACGGAUAAAAGCUACCCCGGGGAUAACAGGCUUAUCUCCCCCAAGAGUUCACAUCGACGGGGAGGUUUGGCACCUCGAUGUCGGCUCAUCGCAUCCUGGGGCUGUAGUCGGUCCCAAGGGUUGGGCUGUUCGCCCAUUAAAGCGGUACGCGAGCUGGGUUCAGAACGUCGUGAGACAGUUCGGUCCCUAUCCGUCGUGGGCGUAGGAAAUUUGAGAGGAGCUGUCCUUAGUACGAGAGGACCGGGAUGGACAUACCUCUGGUGUACCAGUUGUCGUGCCAACGGCAUAGCUGGGUAGCUAUGUGUGGACGGGAUAAGUGCUGAAAGCAUCUAAGCAUGAAGCCCCCCUCAAGAUGAGAUUUCCCAACUUCGGUUAUAAGAUCCCUCAAAGAUGAUGAGGUUAAUAGGUUCGAGGUGGAAGCAUGGUGACAUGUGGAGCUGACGAAUACUAAUCGAUCGAAGACUUAAUCAA